CCCACCCCCAGCGGGUCUCCUCCACCGCUGCGCUCCGACUUCCGGGGCGCGCAGACUAGGCGUCACAGUGACAGCGCCUCUGGGCGUCACAGUGACAGCGCCUCCGGGCGUCACAGUGACAGCGACCAGGGAAGCUCAGGAGGAAGCGGUGACUAGUGGAGGAGCCGCUCUCUGAGUCGCUGCAGGGAUGUCUGAGCAGCCUCUGCCACCAGCCAACAAUGGGGCCUCUGGCUCCGGAGACGCCCUGCCCGCGCCCAUGGCCUCCAGCAUCGACUCCUCCCGGGCUGGCUCACCCGGUGGAGGCUUAGGAACUGAGGUGGCCUCCAUGCUGCUCCACCCGCCACCACUCAUGCCGCCACCCAUGCCACCGCAUCAGCGGCCAACGCCGCCAGCGCUCCACCUGGCCUGGCCAUGUCCCUGGCUGGACCGCAGGCAUUCCGGGAUCAUCUGCAGAUGUUCAGGUCCCGGCCCUGGAGAUUUCGAGUAGUGCGGUGGCCUCUUUCUGAGCAGGAGCCACAGAGCGUUUGAAGAGCCUCUACCCGGCCGUGGACCAGAAGAAGACUCCACUGCCCAAGUCCUGGAGCCUGAAGGACAAGUUCAGCUAUAUCGACCUCUCACAAAACAACCUGUGGGUGCACUACAGAGGAAAUAACCUAGGAACCUUCUACAGAGGGCUUCUGAAAGCGAGAAGAAGAAAACAGGAAACAACCUAGGAACCUACCACAGAGGGCCUCUGAAAGCCUCUGCCCUGCAGACUAUCAAAGCAGACGCUGAACCUGAUGGCCAACUGUUGGGCAGAGUGAAUGGAAUUUUAUGUAAGAAGUGGGAAAUAGUAAGAGCUGGAGAGGACAGGGUCACCACAAGGAGAGCAACAGAACAAGAAAAUUUGAACACAGGGAACUUCCCAGAGACUCAUACUCCAACCAAGGACUAUUCAUGGAGAUAACCUAGAACCCCUGGACAGAUGUAGCCCAUGGCAGUUCAUUGUCCAAAUGGGUUACAUAGUAAUGGGAAGAGGGACUUCCUCUGACAUAAUCUGAUUGGCCUGCUCUUUGAUCACCUCCCCCUGAGGGGGGAGCAGCCUUACCAGGCCACAGUAGAGGAAAACAAGGUUUUUAAAAGAUACCAAUUAGCCUUUUGAAGAAAACUGCCUUAUAUUUUUCACCUGAAGCUAACAUACUUACCAACCUUAUGCUUCUGCUACUUCCCAUCCCCACUUUUCUGAGAUUAAAACAAAGUUUUAAACAAUUCAGUUGUAUAGAAAAUUAUAAAGGACAGGGGCGGGGUUGAAUUGUACCUGAGAUUAAUUGCCUGCAUCAAGUUUACUUGUGUGGGUCAGGCAAAAAACAAUGCAGUGCUAUCAGUUUGGAUACACAUCCCAGAGGCUCUAAAUCUAAAGCAGAGGAGUGUUUACAUUCUAAGCAGGUUCCUUUUGAUUGGCUCUAAAGGAAGGGGGGAGGGUCUUCAGAUCCUGGUGAUAUGUAGGUAGAGUAUACAAAUCUGUGGCAACAUUCAGAAAGAAUGAACAACUGGGGUUUGAGAAGAACCUUGAAAAAUCAGCUACUGUUUAAAUGAGUGUGGCAACAGAAAUCUGCUGAAUGAUUUGGAUGUAAAGAAUCUACACAAAGACGGGCCUUGUUACAUUUCUUCUUGUUGUCAUAGAUCCAAAGAAGUACUUACUAUUUCGAACAUUAUAUCCCUUUAUCUAAGUGGCUGAAAAUUGCAAAAUACCAAAGGGUUUUUUUUUCCUUUUAUUUAGGACGUUUUGUUGAUUUCCUUGUGGAUUAUUACUUAAUUUUGUUUUUAAAUUGGUGUGAACAGUAAGUGGUAUGCUAUGUUUACUUCUGUUUUGGCUGCCAGAAUGCUUUUGUUAGAUUUGACAGAACUUCAUUUUACAUUUGUGGUUUAUGGUAAAUAAAAAGCAUCUAAAGGCAGAGACUGUGUAGGGGAGGUGAGUGAGCAAAGAAUCCCAGCUUUCCUGAAUCCCAGCAGUCACUGGUGGUACUAGCUCUAUUAGGAGACAGGGCCUCAGUGUCUUCUGAAUGCUGUGGGAGUUGAUCUAGAUGGUCAGUAAGAAAAUUUCUGUGGGAGCUUAACUCUCAUGAUUGUGGCUAAUUUGGCAUUGUAACAUUCUUCGAUUGGUUGUAUUUACUUCUUUUAUGUAAAAUUAAUCAUCUAGGCCAGAGACAAAUGUAUGCUUAUGUGGUUGGGCUUUGAAUGUCACAGUUUUCCUGUGGCCUUUUUUCUUACUUUCUGUUGUGUAACACUGAUAUUCACUUUCUGGAACAUUGUUGUUUCAUAAACAUGAACUAUUACUUUUGGAAGAACAGAUUUGUUGUCAUCCUUUUCUCCAGAUUUAUCUCCUUUUUCUCUCCUUUCCCCAUGUUACAAAUACAGUGCCUCUCUUCUAAACCUUCA
Molecule: long non-coding RNA, 2418 nt
Organism: Meriones unguiculatus (Mongolian gerbil)
Lineage: Eukaryota; Metazoa; Chordata; Mammalia; Rodentia; Muridae
Exons: 2
Source: RefSeq, a predicted model, not a curated record